CAUGCAAGUCGAGCGGUAGCACAGAGAGCUUGCUCUCGGGUGACGAGCGGCGGACGGGUGAGUAAUGUCUGGGAAACUGCCUGAUGGAGGGGGAUAACUACUGGAAACGGUAGCUAAUACCGCAUAACGUCGCAAGACCAAAGUGGGGGACCUUCGGGCCUCAUGCCAUCAGAUGUGCCCAGAUGGGAUUAGCUAGUAGGUGGGGUAAUGGCUCACCUAGGCGACGAUCCCUAGCUGGUCUGAGAGGAUGACCAGCCACACUGGAACUGAGACACGGUCCAGACUCCUACGGGAGGCAGCAGUGGGGAAUAUUGCACAAUGGGCGCAAGCCUGAUGCAGCCAUGCCGCGUGUAUGAAGAAGGCCUUCGGGUUGUAAAGUACUUUCAGCGAGGAGGAAGGCGUUAAGGUUAAUAACCUUGUCGAUUGACGUUACUCGCAGAAGAAGCACCGGCUAACUCCGUGCCAGCAGCCGCGGUAAUACGGAGGGUGCAAGCGUUAAUCGGAAUUACUGGGCGUAAAGCGCACGCAGGCGGUCUGUUAAGUCAGAUGUGAAAUCCCCGGGCUCAACCUGGGAACUGCAUUUGAAACUGGCAGGCUUGAGUCUUGUAGAGGGGGGUAGAAUUCCAGGUGUAGCGGUGAAAUGCGUAGAGAUCUGGAGGAAUACCGGUGGCGAAGGCGGCCCCCUGGACAAAGACUGACGCUCAGGUGCGAAAGCGUGGGGAGCAAACAGGAUUAGAUACCCUGGUAGUCCACGCUGUAAACGAUGUCGACUUGGAGGUUGUUCCCUUGAGGAGUGGCUUCCGGAGCUAACGCGUUAAGUCGACCGCCUGGGGAGUACGGCCGCAAGGUUAAAACUCAAAUGAAUUGACGGGGGCCCGCACAAGCGGUGGAGCAUGUGGUUUAAUUCGAUGCAACGCGAAGAACCUUACCUACUCUUGACAUCCAGAGAACUUAUCAGAGAUGCUUUGGUGCCUUCGGGAACUCUGAGACAGGUGCUGCAUGGCUGUCGUCAGCUCGUGUUGUGAAAUGUUGGGUUAAGUCCCGCCACGAGCCGCAACCCUUAUCCUUUGUUGCCACGCGAUUCGGUCGGGAACUCAAAGGAGACUGCCAGUGAUAAACUGGGAGAAGGGGGAAUGACGUCAAGUCAUCAUGGCCCUUACGAGUGAGGGCUACACAGUCCAUGCCAUGCAAAGAAAUCGAACUCUCGAGAGGCUCAAGUCGGUGAACCAUA
RNAcentral lists this ribosomal RNA (1231 nucleotides) under Klebsiella ornithinolytica. RNAcentral's name for it is "bacterial SSU rRNA". It matches the Rfam family "Bacterial small subunit ribosomal RNA", at positions 54 to 1290 of the family's 1533-position model. Lineage: Bacteria; Pseudomonadati; Pseudomonadota; Gammaproteobacteria; Enterobacterales; Enterobacteriaceae. The record is from RNAcentral.